CAACAAGUGGGGCAGGGAGGGAGGUGUUUCAGUUUUGGGAAGAAGAGUCGCUGGGUUUAGGGUUGAGCAAGCCCUAAAUGAAACAGAGGGAUCGUGGAGGAAUGAGACCAGAAGGGAAAGGAUGCGGCAGGGAGGAAGGGUCUUUAAGCUUUUGUAAGUGAGAAGAUCCUCCAGAGUGUGAGGGGAAAUGAUAAUAGUUUGUGCUCCGAAAGUCAGUUUCUUUGUCUCCUGUAGUAAAACGUGUGCCGCAGCUAGAGCACACAGGCAUGGGGCCCACCCCCUAACAGUUGGAUUUAGUUGUUUGGAAAGGUAAGCAACAGGAGCAAAGGUGGGCCCUUCAUUUUGUUUGGCAUGCCCUGCAGACAAUUUAUUCAGCCUGUUCUGCACCUAACAGUUAUCUGGUCACGGGAGCCAGGAUUUAUGAGGCACCACUAAGAUUUUUAGAGAGGGUUGUUAUCUGGUCAGGGAAAGCCAAGCAUGGGUGAGUUCAAGGCAUGGGCAGGAAUUCCAAACAAGUUUAGAAAUCUAGUAAUUUAUAGUAAAACAGAAAUGAACUUUUCAUGACUUUGUGAUGAGAUGGCUCCCAAUCCUAAAAUGGAAUUAGUCUGAGUUCAUCACCAUACCCAGCACCUCAGAAACUUCACAAGGGCAAAAGUUGCAAACACCUGGGCACUCCUCACCAGGGCACAAGGAGAGAGGCCCAAGCAGCUCAGCCCAGGAUGGAGAGCAAUGACCUCGGACAGCACAGAGGACAGCAAAGGGCAGGUCCAAAUCCAAGCCCAAAGUGGCUGGUUGGAUUUCAGUUGAAGAGGAGGUUGGCCUUGAUGACAGUGACCAGGGCAGGACAGCCAAAGAACUUUCAGACUAACCCUCUGGGAACUGCUGGCCAGGGAAGCUCUCCCAGAUCCCUCUCUCAAAGUGACCUAAGCAUGACUGUUAUAACUCAGCUAACAUGAUCUUUAAAAGCUCAUUUUUUUACAACAAAUACUGAAUUAACUCUUAGGAUCAACAAAUGACAUGGACAUACAGAGUAAUUUUGAGGAGGGCAUCAACAUUAGCAGUUUGUUGUGUGUUUUUCUAAGGCCCUUUCCCAUGCCUUUACAUGCACAUAUGUGCAUAUAUAAGUAUAUGGGGAUUUUUUUUGCAGAAAUGAAGCUAUAUUUUAUAUAUAUUAUUUUGCUUUAUUCACUUAACAAUAUGUCUUGGAGAGCU
Molecule: long non-coding RNA, 1212 nt
Filed under: Marmota monax (woodchuck)
Lineage: Eukaryota; Metazoa; Chordata; Mammalia; Rodentia; Sciuridae
Source: RNAcentral